ACUCAAGUAGCUUAAUACAACAAAGCAUUGGCCUUGUAAACCAAAGACUGAAGACUACCAACCUUCCUAGAGUG
RNAcentral lists this transfer RNA (74 nucleotides) under Palea steindachneri (wattle-necked softshell turtle). RNAcentral describes it as "tRNA-Thr". It matches the Rfam family "tRNA". From Rfam's summary of the family: Transfer RNA (tRNA) molecules are approximately 80 nucleotides in length. Their secondary structure includes four short double-helical elements and three loops (D, anti-codon, and T loops). The record is from RNAcentral. Lineage: Eukaryota; Metazoa; Chordata; Testudines; Trionychidae.